Molecule: long non-coding RNA, 373 nt
Organism: Bubalus bubalis (water buffalo)
Lineage: Eukaryota; Metazoa; Chordata; Mammalia; Artiodactyla; Bovidae
Exons: 3
Source: RefSeq, a predicted model, not a curated record
CGUAUCUACAAACCCCUUUUUGCACCGCCCGCUCCUUCACCUCAGCCAAUCAGGGGCCUCUAAGGUCGGGUUUCCGCUCCGGAAGUCUUGGUUUCCUCAGUGGAGAACAAUCUUUGAUCAAAUGGUAGUGAAAUAACCAGAAGCGUGCCGGCUGCGACGGACCACACAGAAGCGUGGCCGAGAGGAGCUACCCCUCGCCCAAGGUCGGGGCGGUGGCCGAGAGGGCCAGGCUGCGAGGGCACAGAGCGACUGAGAGGAGCUACCCUACGCCCGAGGUCAGGGGCGGUGGCCAAGAGGAGCUACCCCAUGUCCAAGGAGCGGUGGCUGCACAGGUGCAGGAGGGCCGAGAGGAGCUAUUCCACGUUCACGGUCA